GGAUGUCCUGCCUGUCACAGCCCCUGCUGUUCCUCACCCUGAAUGAGGAAGUAGAAACAAAUCGGCGGGAAUAUGUUCCUCUAAGCAAUCCCGUGGGCGCCCCUGUUCCUGUCAGCCUGCCUCCAACUUCCCUACAUCACAAGCUCUGAGCAGGAUGUGCCUUCCUGUUUUGCUACCACUCAAGCGUCCUGCUGCUGCUGCUGCUAAGUUGCUCCCGUCAUGUCCGACUCUGCGACCCCAUAGACGGCAGCCCACCAGGCUCCCCCGUCCCUGGGAUUCUCCAGGCAAGAACACUGGAGUGGGUUGCCAUGUCCUUCUCCAGUGCAUGAAAGUGAAGAGUGAAAAUGAAGUCGCUCAGUCGUGUCCGACUCUUAGCUACCCCGUGGACUGCAGCCCACCAGGCUCCUCCGUCCGUGGGAUUUUCCAGGCAAGAAUACUGGAGUGGGUCGCCAUUGCCUUCUCCGCUUAAGUGUCCUAGUCUCAGCCUAACGCAAGUGGUGCUGGCUGACCCCUUGCAAUGCAAAUAGUAGCUGCUCAAUGCACUUACUGAUCGGUAUUUUUAAAUCUUCAUAAACAUCAUAAUGGAAGGAUAAUACGGAGUUAGGAACAUGUGUGACAUUGUUAACGAUUUCUUUAGUAUUUAGACAUUAAAUGUAGGGCUCCUUAUAACUUUUCCAUCUUAAAACUAAAGCUAUUGAAGGAGGGGAAAGAAGCUCAAUAAGCGAG
Long non-coding RNA from Bos taurus (domestic cattle), 726 nucleotides. The record is from Ensembl. NCBI's taxonomy places the organism in Eukaryota, Metazoa, Chordata, Mammalia, Artiodactyla, Bovidae.